UAUAUAACAGAUCAAUAACUCAACAAAUUUACUGACUUAAUAUGUUGAUACAAGGUUCAUAAACUAAUCCUGCUGGAUUUUCAAUAUGUUGGCAAGUAGAGAUCCCGAAAGGCAAUAAAGUACCAAAAGCAGAUAUGCAAGAUGCCUGAAGGCCUAUGUAAACACAAGAAAUAGUAAAAUUCUGAAAACUCACAGUAGCUAGAAUAUUCCUGCCCGACAAGUAGCUCACAGCAAAACUAUGCGUUUUUCUUAUCUUUUAAUGGCCCUAUGGGAAUUUUACUCAAAACUUUGGCAUCAAAGACAGCGUACUGUUUCUUGAUCUCCUGCACUGCUUUCUCAGCUAAAGGAUCUACUUUAUCUUCGUACUUCUCGUAAAGAACAGGAACUGUAUGGAGGAGUACGAAUAAUAUGUAGAACAAUGUCAGAAAGUUGCAGCAAUUGCCGACAACUGAGAGGAUCCAUAAACCAGUAACGACAGCAAGGAACUUUUUCGGAUCUUUCCCAGUUGCGAUUUCUCGCAACAUACUAAGAGCACGGUUAAUUUCAAUACUCAGAGCAGAAGCAAUCUCUAGUAUUGGCUCCUCCGGAAGCUGAACUUCUGGGAUGUGUGGACGUUUCUUGUUAAUAAAGGUUGUCGCAUUGGACCACAAGAAUAAGACAGCAAGGGUGAAGAUCAACAAGUGACAGACUAGACCAACCAGGAAGUACUCGAGCAAUUCAAAAAGAACCCAUAUUGCAGUUGCUCCACCAAGUACACUAGCAGAUAUCUUCUUGUUCCUCCACAAGAAUACAUCAGCAGGUUUGCCUCCACCAAAAACAUGGUGAACCGGCUUCUCUCUUCCGAACAGCCGCCAAAUCUUAGCCUUUACCGACGACGGCGACGCUUCCGGUGCGGCAGCAGGUUUCACCUCGGAAUCGGAAUCCGACGAGGAGGAGGAAGAGGAACGGUCGAAGUGAAUCUUAUCUGCUAUUUUCUCCAUGAACGAUUCUUCUUUGUGCUCUGAGUGUUGCUCAACUUGCUCAGCCAUUUUCAGUGUGGAUCGGAGCUCCG
Molecule: unclassified non-coding RNA, 1051 nt
Filed under: Hevea brasiliensis (rubber tree)
Lineage: Eukaryota; Viridiplantae; Streptophyta; Magnoliopsida; Malpighiales; Euphorbiaceae
Source: RNAcentral